Molecule: long non-coding RNA, 516 nt
Organism: Poecilia latipinna (sailfin molly)
Lineage: Eukaryota; Metazoa; Chordata; Actinopteri; Cyprinodontiformes; Poeciliidae
Exons: 2
Source: RefSeq, a predicted model, not a curated record
AAACUAUAUAAAUAGUAUUGUUCUAAAUUUGUUGUCAGAACAAAUGAUUUCAUUUAAUUGUUAAAAAAAAACAACAAAUUAUUGAUUUAAUCAUUGGAAGACUUGCAUGUUUUGGUGUUUAUGUUUCUUUCUCCUUAUAUUUUGUUUUCUCUCCUCAACAGCUGCAUCCAGACACUCCUGAACUUUUCCUGAAAAGCAACUAGGCAUCUUUUUAAUAGGUUUUCUGGGCUCAAACCCUGAACAAGGUCGACUGACACGAUGCAGACGAAGGUGAAGAAGCAGCUUUGCCUUCCAGCCAGAUGGUUUAAGUCCCUUAAUGAACUGAAUGACUGGGAAUCCAUGGAAAAUUUGAGCCUUUUGAAGUUUAAAUGUGAUUGAUCAUCUCAUCAAACCUGGUGCACCAAGAACCUUUGUGAAGCACAAGAACUGGUCACAGAACAUUUCAAGCUCUUGGUAACUGGACCUAAGAGUUGGAUUAACCUUUUUUUGCAGAACAUAAACAUAAAAUGGACUGUU